UACGGGGGUGGCAAGCGUUGUUCGGAAUUACUGGGCGUAAAGGGCUCGUAGGCGGCCAACUAAGUCAGAUGUGAAAUCCCUCGGCUUAACCGGGGAACUGCGUCUGAUACUGGAUGGCUUGAGUUCGGGAGAGGGAUGCGGAAUUCCAGGUGUAGCGGUGAAAUGCGUAGAUAUCUGGAGGAACACCGGUGGCGAAGGCGGCUCUCUGGGACGGUACUGACGCUGAGACGCGAAAGCGUGGGGAGCGAACAGG
RNAcentral lists this ribosomal RNA (253 nucleotides) under uncultured bacterium. Its description in RNAcentral is "partial 16S ribosomal RNA". It matches the Rfam family "Bacterial small subunit ribosomal RNA", at positions 524 to 776 of the family's 1533-position model. The record is from RNAcentral.